RNAcentral lists this small nuclear RNA (84 nucleotides) under Chelydra serpentina (North American snapping turtle). Lineage: Eukaryota; Metazoa; Chordata; Testudines; Chelydridae. The record is from RNAcentral.
CAGCUCUUACAGCACAUAUACUAAAAUUUGAACAAUACAGAGAAGAUCAGCAUGGCCCUUGCAGAAGGAUGACAUGCAAAUUCG